This 496-nucleotide ribosomal RNA is filed under the name uncultured bacterium. RNAcentral describes it as "partial 16S ribosomal RNA". It matches the Rfam family "Bacterial small subunit ribosomal RNA", at positions 29 to 507 of the family's 1533-position model. The record is from RNAcentral.
AUGAACGCUGGCGGCGUGCCUAAUACAUGCAAGUCGAGCGAACGGACGAGAAGCUUGCUUCUCUGAUGCUAGCGGCGGACGGGUGAGUAACACGUGGAUAACCUACCUAUAAGACUGGGAUAACUUCGGGAAACCGGAGCUAAUACCGGAUGAUAUUUUGAACCGCAUGGUUCAAAAGUGAAAGACGGUCUUGCUGUCACUUAUAGAUGGAUCCGCGCUGCAUUAGCUAGUUGGUAAGGUAACGGCUUACCAAGGCAACGAUGCAUAGCCGACCUGAGAGGGUGAUCGGCCACACUGGAACUGAGACACGGUCCAGACUCCUACGGGAGGCAGCAGUAGGGAAUCUUCCGCAAUGGGCGAAAGCCUGACGGAGCAACGCCGCGUGAGUGAUGAAGGUCUUCGGAUCGUAAAACUCUGUUAUUAGGGAAGAACAUAUGUGUAAGUAACUGUGCACAUCUUGACGGUACCUAAUCAGAAAGCCACGGCUAACUACGUG